CCUCACCAGAGUACCAAUUGGAGGGCAAGUCUGGUGCCAGCAGCCGCGGUAAUUCCAGCUCCAAUAGCGUAUAUUAAACUUGUUGCAGUUAAAAAGCUCGUAGUUGAAUUUCAGCGUUUCGCGUGUGCCUCUUUUGGCCCAUCUCGUCUCGCUUUUUUUAUUACUUUGAGAAAAUUAGAGUGUUUCAAGCAGGCUUUUGUCUUGAAUACUUGAGCAUGGAAUAAUAGAGUAGGACCUUGGUUCUAUUUUGUUGGUUUUGUUACCUUGGUAAUGGUUAAUAGGAACGGUUGGGGGCAUUCGUAUUUAACUGUCAGAGGUGAAAUUCUUAGAUUUGUUAAAGACGAACUACUGCGAAAGCAUUUGCCAAGGACGUUUCCAUUAAUCAAGAACGAAAGUUAGGGGAUCGAAGACGAUCAGAUACCGUCGUAGUCCUAACCAUAAACUAA
This 446-nucleotide ribosomal RNA is filed under the name Babesia occultans. RNAcentral's name for it is "SSU rRNA". It matches the Rfam family "Eukaryotic small subunit ribosomal RNA", at positions 531 to 1040 of the family's 1831-position model. The record is from RNAcentral. Lineage: Eukaryota; Apicomplexa; Aconoidasida; Piroplasmida; Babesiidae.